UACGUAGGGUGCGAGCGUUGUCCGGAAUUAUUGGGCGUAAAGAGCUUGUAGGCGGUCUGUCGCGUCUGCUGUGAAAAAUCCGGGGCUCAACCCCGGACUUGCAGUGGGUACGGGCAGACUAGAGUGUGGUAGGGGAGACUGGAAUUCCUGGUGUAGCGGUGAAAAUGCGCAGAUAUCAGGAGGAACACCGAUGGCGAAGGCAGGUCUCUGGGCCACUACUGACGCUGAGAAGCGAAAGCAUGGGGAGCGAACAGG
This 255-nucleotide ribosomal RNA is filed under the name uncultured bacterium. RNAcentral's name for it is "partial 16S ribosomal RNA". It matches the Rfam family "Bacterial small subunit ribosomal RNA", at positions 524 to 776 of the family's 1533-position model. The record is from RNAcentral.